GAGAGGGGAGGGGAGUGAGGGAGUAAAGUGAGACUGGGAGAUAUGGGGUAAUAGCAAGGGCAGUGAAAGACAGCAAGAGGGUUUGACCGGGGGGCUGAACUGCAAGCUGAGCUCAGAGUCGCUGUGUUUGUGCUUCUUGAUACAGUCCUAUUGGGAUUUCUGAGGAGUGUUCACUAUAGACAGGAGGUCCUGUUUAAAUACAGUGGCGCUGUAGACGUAGAAUCUGUGCUGAGAGGGGAGAGGGAAGAAUCGGUCUGGAUACGAAUGAACCGAGAAGCACAAACACCGAGCUGUACCAUCGAUACCAUUCUUCACAUCAUUGCAAUUUUUGAACAAUCUGCAGCGUUCUGCUAAAAUGAGCUUCACACAACAGCAGCGACUCGUGACUCUCUGGAACUCGCCGCCUGUCUGCCUGUCUGUCUGUGUCUGUCUGUCUGUCUGUUUCUUUGUCAGUUGAUUUUUAAAGUCGGUUUGAAAUGAAAGCAGCUGUGCGAUCGCCACAGUUACGACGGCCUCUAAAAACAUCAGCUCCCACUGGAGAAUUCAUUUUGAAAAAGGAGUUGGAUUCUUAAAGCAGGAAGCGACCCGCCACCUGCGACCCUGCGCACACCCCGAUAAAGACCCCUACGUACCUCCUGAACACGCAACGCCAUCAGAAACAAGACCGACGCGUUGCGGGAUUCGCGAGGAAGGACUGUUACAAACGGACACGCGUGUCUGUGUGUGUUUAUAUACAGAGCACUUUCUGUCUUGGUUUGCAGUCUGAUACAGCGUGUAUUCCAGCACUCGGAACGGCUGUGCUGUUUUAUUAUUGGUAUUAUUAGUAGUGGUAUUGCUUGCAGUGUUAAGUCAUUGUAUCUGAAUGAGUUGUUGAAAGUCCUGCAUGGUCCUCCUCCUGUGAUGUGUCUUGGCUGUGAAAUUGCACUGGUUUAUUUAUUUAUUUAUUGAUUGAUUGAUUGAUUGAUUGAUUUUCCUGUAGUUUUUUUUCAGCUCCUUUCUCCCUCCAUACCUAAAUAAACACCAAUCCUGUUUUUAUUUGUA
Long non-coding RNA from Polyodon spathula (Mississippi paddlefish), 1041 nucleotides. RefSeq lists it as uncharacterized. Lineage: Eukaryota; Metazoa; Chordata; Actinopteri; Acipenseriformes; Polyodontidae. The record is from RefSeq and is a predicted model, not a curated record. The transcript has 2 exons.